Molecule: ribosomal RNA, 244 nt
Filed under: Acaulospora scrobiculata
Lineage: Eukaryota; Fungi; Glomeromycota; Glomeromycetes; Diversisporales; Acaulosporaceae
Source: RNAcentral
CAGACGUGCGCAGCUUCGGCUAAUGCAGGCUAGCAUCGGUUUUGCGAGUCGGAUAAAGGUAAGGGGAAGGUGGCAGCUCUGGCUGUGUUAUAGCCCCUUACUGAAUACGAAUUGCGAGACCGAGGGAUGCAGCGCGCCGCAAGGCAAAGGGUUCGCCCUUUUCGCGCUUAGGAUGCUGGUGAAAUGGCUUUAAACGACCCGUCUUGAAACACGGACCAAGGAGUCUAACAUAUAUGCGAGUGUU